GACGAACGCUGGCGGCGUGCUUAACACAUGCAAGUCGAACGGAAAGGCCCUGCUUUUGUGGGGUGCUCGAGUGGCGAACGGGUGAGUAACACGUGAGUAACCUGCCCUUGACUUUGGGAUAACUUCAGGAAACUGGGGCUAAUACCGGAUAGGAGCUCCUGCUGCAUGGUGGGGGUUGGAAAGUUUCGGCGGUUGGGGAUGGACUCGCGGCUUAUCAGCUUGUUGGUGGGGUAGUGGCUUACCAAGGCUUUGACGGGUAGCCGGCCUGAGAGGGUGACCGGCUACAUGGGAAGGGAGGAACGGCCAAGAGUGGGAGGGGAGGAGGGAGUGGGGAAUGGGGAGAAAGGGGCGGAGGGCGGGGGGAGCGACGCGGGGUGGCGGAUGGCAGCCUUCGGGUUGGACACCGCACGCGCCCGUGACGAAGCGUGAGUGACGGUAAGGGGAAAAGAAGCACCGGAAAACGACGCCCCAGCAGCCGCGAUAAGAGAACAGAAGAACACACAUCUCAAC
Molecule: ribosomal RNA, 510 nt
Filed under: uncultured bacterium
Lineage: Bacteria
Description: partial 16S ribosomal RNA
Rfam family: Bacterial small subunit ribosomal RNA
Source: RNAcentral